Molecule: long non-coding RNA, 716 nt
Organism: Talpa occidentalis (Iberian mole)
Lineage: Eukaryota; Metazoa; Chordata; Mammalia; Eulipotyphla; Talpidae
Exons: 3
Source: RefSeq, a predicted model, not a curated record
UUGUAGGCUGCAGAGCACAAGCUGAGAGUUGGGAAGAAGGGUUACUGUUACAGGAGAGCAACUCCAUCUCUUCUGCCUUCCCUCCUUGAAGUCUCCAGCUACUGCUGCAAACUAUAAAACCUGGACAGAAUGCUUGGAGUGGCUAUUUGAGGACUCUGAAAAGUAAAUAGUAGGAGGCAGAUUGGGGAAGAAGACCAGAAUUCAAAGUACCACUGAAGCGGCGGAAUGAACAGGAAGAUAGGAAGUCUCAACAAAGAAAUAGAAGACAUAAAGAAGAACUAACUGGAAAUUUUAGAACUGAGAAAUAAAGCAAUAGAAACGAAAAACUCACUGGAUGGGCUCAAUAGCAGAGUGGACUUGACAGAUAAUAAAUAAAUACACAGAGUCUCAGGGAUCUAAGAGAUAGUAUCACAAUAUCACAAGGUGAAACAUUUAUGUCAUCAGAGACAGAUUGAGAAGAAAACGAAUGUGAUGCAGCAAAAAUAUUUGAAGAAAUAAUGAUAUAUAGGUUGGAGGAAGAAAUAAAAUUGUUCCUAUUUGUAUAUGACAUGAUGGUAUGGUAUAUGUAGAAAAUCCCAAGGAAUUCACAAAAAAAAAAUUCCUAAAAUGACUUAGCAAGAGAUUCAAGGAAACCCAAAAAAGCAAUCAUUUUUUAUUUAUUUUAAAGAUUUAUUUUUUAAAUUUAUGCAUACAAGAACUGGGGUAUAGGCCAGAGA